This 497-nucleotide ribosomal RNA is filed under the name uncultured bacterium. RNAcentral describes it as "partial 16S ribosomal RNA". It matches the Rfam family "Bacterial small subunit ribosomal RNA", at positions 28 to 507 of the family's 1533-position model. The record is from RNAcentral.
GAUGAACGCUGGCUGCGUGCCUAAUACAUGCAAGUCGAGCGCACAUAUUUUUAUCUUUCUCUUCUGACGUUAGCGGCUGACGUGUGAGUAACACGUUGAUCACCUACCUCUAAGACUGUGAUCUCUUCGGGUCACCCUAGCUAAUACCGGAUAUUAUAUUCAACCGCAUGGUUCCAUAGCGAAACACGGUUUUUCUUUUAUUUAUAUAUGGAUUCGCACCGCAUAAGCUAGUUGGUAAGGUAACGGUUUACCAAGGCAACGGUGCGUAGCCGACCAGAGAGGGUGAUAGGCCACAGUGGAACUGAGAAGAGGUCAAGACUCCUAGGGGAGGCAGCAGUAGGGAAUCUGCGACAAUGGGCGAAAGCUUGACGGAGCAAAGCCGCAUGAGUAAUGAAGGUCAUCGGUGGGUAAGACUCUGUUAUUGGGGAAGAACAAAUGUGUAAGUAACAAGGCACGUGUUGACGGUACAUAAUCAGAAAACCACGGCUAACUAAGGG